RNAcentral lists this ribosomal RNA (274 nucleotides) under uncultured bacterium. Its description in RNAcentral is "partial 16S ribosomal RNA". It matches the Rfam family "Bacterial small subunit ribosomal RNA", at positions 523 to 796 of the family's 1533-position model. The record is from RNAcentral.
AUACGGAGGGUGCAAGCGUUAAUCGGAAUUACUGGGCGUAAAGCGCGCGUAGGCGGUUUAGUAAGUCGGAUGUGAAAGCCCCGGGCUCAACCUGGGAAUUGCAUUCGAUACUGCUUGACUAGAGUAUGGUAGAGGGAAGUGGAAUUUCCGGUGUAGCGGUGAAAUGCGUAGAUAUCGGAAGGAACACCAGUGGCGAAGGCGACUUCCUGGGCCAAUGCUGACGCUGAGGUGCGAAAGCGUGGGGAGCAAACAGGAUUAGAUACCCCAGUAGUCC